Ictalurus punctatus (channel catfish) is the source of this 1555-nucleotide long non-coding RNA. The record is from Ensembl. Lineage: Eukaryota; Metazoa; Chordata; Actinopteri; Siluriformes; Ictaluridae.
GUGUGUGUGUGUGUGUGUGUGUGUGUGUGCGUGGAUUUUUCUAGGAGUGUAGAGAGAAAGUGUUCGAUGUGAUGCUAACACUACCAUCGAGUGGCGAUCCCUGCUCUGUGCUGUUUUAGGGAAACUCGUUCCUGAUUGGUUAAGGCUGCAGAAAGGGGGCGGGGUUAACACUCCAAAAUAAAAUUGCCACCGCCUGUUAGAAUUCCUAAGAAUUUAGUGUUUGUUGCCGUCUGCCUUUCUAUUUCACAGCCCUAUGAAGCAUCUAGCUGGUGGGUGUGGCUUGUUAGGCUUUUUAAGUUCUAACUCGCGCUGUAUGAAGAAUUCUGUGUCAAAGCUAAUUUACAUAUAAUUUGGGUUUGGGGGAGGGUCAAUCAAUUCGACGUAAAAAAUUUUGCCACAUCAUCGUUGCAGCUAAACACUUCACACGAGAGGGUUAUUACAUCAUCAACUGUGACAGCCAAUCAGGUUCCAGUAUGCAAAUAAGGCCGUGCAGGGGGCGGGCUGUGUACGGUCGGGGGCGGAUGCUUUGUUUUCUUCGCGUAUUCUUUUUGUGGAAUCAGGAUUUUUUUUGAUGAGGGAAAAAGUAUUGGCGCCUUCCAAGCUUGUACGAAAAAACGCGCGAUGUUAUCGAACGUCCUGCGGAAACAUCGCUAGCGGGUCUGAACGUCAGUGACCGCAUCUCAGAAACAAACAAACAAAAAGGACAAUAAUAUUAAGAUUGAGUAGGGUUUUCCUUCAUCCACUGUGCAGAUUAGGAGAUGAUGGGCUUUUCACCGAGAUACAACUAGAGAUCUCUCAAACGGCUAAUCGGGGAAUUUAUCGUAUUGUUUUGGAUCUUGCGUGUUAAGUUCUAACACCGCUGCUGGUCUCGGACUUUCGGACCCGAAUGCAUGCUCGUAUUUCCGUUCUAUAAACCGCGGCUGAACUGUCUUCUGUACAGCAUCUCAACAAAACAAAAACCCUGCCGGUCUGAAAUCAAACCUGUCUGAUGUUUAUCCAUGUGGAGAUGGAUGCUGCGCUAAAUCAGACACAGCUUCUGAUCUCCAGGCGUUUGGAGCGUAAGUUUGUCAUUUCCGUGCCGUCACGCGCUGACAUCUGCGUAGAUCACAGCUGGAUACACAUCUGACACGUUCGCCUCUCUGCUUUCAGCCUGACACGCCUCGGCAUCGGCACGACGACAGGAAAGAGACGAGACGUUGCUCUGAAUCUCUGACUCGGCAUACAGACACGCAGAUGCCGCCGAGCUAAAUCUGCUCAGAUCACGUGGGGUUCCGGAUGAUGAUUGGUCGUCAGGUGUUGAUUAUUAAUGAAGAAUUUUCUGACAGCUGGAAAUCAGGGCUUUACGUUAACGCGCUCGUUCUAACACGUUUCUAUAGUAACAGGGACUCGUACAUAAACGCUGUUUAAAUAAACGUCGAUAAGAAGACGUAAGACGACGUUUACACAAACACUGAUGGAAGGAGUCUCCAGUGUCGGUGCCUUGUAACAGGACUUCUCCCGGAUAGACGAGUUUACGCUUCUUCUUUGCGGUUUCUCGGUAACGUCUGUUUAUAGC